AAUGAACGCUGGCGGCGCGCCUAAUACAUGCAAGUCGAGCGAGAAGACGUAGCAAUACGUUUGUAAAGCGGCGAACGGGUGAGGAAUACAUGGGUAACCUACCCUCGAGUGGGAAUAACUAGCCGAAAGGUUAGCUAAUACCGCGUACGCUUCUUGGACUUCGGUUCAGGGAGGAAAGCGAUGCCGAGGGUAUCGCGCUCUUGGAUGGGCUCAUGUCCUAUCAGCUUGUUGGUGAGGUAACGGCUCACCAAGGCUUCGACGGGUAGCUGGUCUGAGAGGACGAUCAGCCACACUGGCACUGCGACACGGGCCAGACUCCUACGGGAGGCAGCAGUAAGGAAUAUUGCGCAAUGGGCGAAAGCCUGACGCAGCGACGCCGCGUGGGGGA
RNAcentral lists this ribosomal RNA (388 nucleotides) under uncultured bacterium. RNAcentral's name for it is "bacterial SSU rRNA". It matches the Rfam family "Bacterial small subunit ribosomal RNA", at positions 29 to 408 of the family's 1533-position model. The record is from RNAcentral.